RNAcentral lists this ribosomal RNA (450 nucleotides) under uncultured organism. RNAcentral's name for it is "partial 16S ribosomal RNA". It matches the Rfam family "Bacterial small subunit ribosomal RNA", at positions 329 to 797 of the family's 1533-position model. The record is from RNAcentral.
ACGUACACUCCUACGGGAGGCAGCAGUGGGGAAUAUUGGACAAUGGGGGCAACCCUGAUCCAGCCAUGCCGCGUGAGUGAUGAAGGCCCUAGGGUUGUAAAGCUCUUUUGUGCGGGAAGAUAAUGACGGUACCGCAAGAAUAAGCCCCGGCUAACUUCGUGCCAGCAGCCGCGGUAAUACGAAGGGGGCUAGCGUUGCUCGGAAUCACUGGGCGUAAAGGGUGCGUAGGCGGGUCUUUAAGUCAGGGGUGAAAUCCUGGAGCUCAACUCCAGAACUGCCUUUGAUACUGAGGGUCUUGAGUCCGGAAGAGGUGAGUGGAACUGCGAGUGUAGAGGUGAAAUUCGUAGAUAUUCGCAAGAACACCAGUGGCGAAGGCGGCUCACUGAUCCGGUACUGACGCUGAGGCACGAAAGCGUGGGGAGCAAACAGGAUUAGAUACCCGGUAGUCCC